Molecule: non-coding RNA, 211 nt
Organism: Pelobates cultripes (western spadefoot toad)
Lineage: Eukaryota; Metazoa; Chordata; Amphibia; Anura; Pelobatidae
Source: the annotation of a GenBank genome assembly
AUCUUGGAAAACCGAUCAACCAUUCCACGAUGAGAUCCAUGGAUAAAUGGGACCACGGAACACUGGGUACGGGAAGUGGAUGUAAUAAUCCACAUGGAAGUUUAUGAGGUACUUUAGAAACGGCAUACACAGAACAGGCCCUACCCCUUUUUUGGAUGCAUCAACCUCCAGUAUGAAAGGUUUGCUUGUGUCGGGUGUCUUAAUAUGUCAG